Molecule: ribosomal RNA, 360 nt
Filed under: Triticum aestivum (bread wheat)
Lineage: Eukaryota; Viridiplantae; Streptophyta; Magnoliopsida; Poales; Poaceae
Description: partial small subunit ribosomal RNA
Source: RNAcentral
AUGACAGGAUCCAACUCGAGUGUACAUGGACAUCAACAUGUGGAAGAUGAUCUCCCAAAAACUCGCGCAUCACUUGGUGAUAUGAUUGAGGAGAGUAUAGUCGCAGCUAUGCGAAGGAUGUUUGGUGGUCGUCUUCCUAUCACGGGCAAUGGGGAUCAACAUCAACACAGCCCCGCUGCCUCGCUGGCUGCCGACAACCGGCAACGUCCAGGAAACGACGAUCGCCAUGUUGGUCGUGGAAGAGCGGCAGGAGCUGCCGCACACGGCGGCCCUGUUGUUGGUGUUGAACGGAGGCGUGGCGAAUUUGCUGCCCCCGUGAGGUGGGCUGCAUGGAGGAGAAGCUCGCGGGCAAGGCCAUGA